Molecule: ribosomal RNA, 421 nt
Filed under: uncultured bacterium
Lineage: Bacteria
Description: partial 16S ribosomal RNA
Rfam family: Bacterial small subunit ribosomal RNA
Source: RNAcentral
AUAUUGGACAAUGGGGGCAACCCUGAUCCAGCCAUGCCGCGUGUGUGAAGAAGGUCUUCGGAUUGUAAAGCACUUUAAGUUGGGAGGAAGGGCUUUAGGCUAAUACCCUGAAGUUUUGACGUUACCAACAGAAUAAGCACCGGCUAACUCUGUGCCAGCAGCCGCGGUAAUACAGAGGGUGCAAGCGUUAAUCGGAAUUACUGGGCGUAAAGGCGGGGUAGGUGGUUCAAUAAGAAGGGUGUUGAAAUCCCGGGCUUAACCCGGGAAAUGCUUUUCUAAAUGGUGGGGUAGAAGAAGGGAGAGGGUUAGGGGAAUUCCUGUGUAGGCGUGAAAUGGGUUAAUAUAGGAAAGGACCCCCAGUGUUGAGGCCAAUAACUUGACUGAUUCCUGCACCUGGGGUCGGAAAGCGUGGGGGGAAAAC